RNAcentral lists this transfer RNA (66 nucleotides) under Phelsuma sundbergi. Its description in RNAcentral is "tRNA-Trp". Lineage: Eukaryota; Metazoa; Chordata; Lepidosauria; Squamata; Gekkonidae. The record is from RNAcentral.
AAAUUUAGGAUAAUCUAAACCAAGAACCUUCAAAGUUCUAAACAGAAGAUAACCUUCUAAUUUCUG